GUAUGAAUGGCCACACGAGGGCUUUACUGUCUCUUACUUUUAAUCCGUGAAAUUGACCUGCCCGUGAAGAGGCGGGAAUGACACAAUAAGACGAGAAGACCCUAUGGAGCUUUAAUUAACCGACCCAAAGAGAUCUUGAUAAUCAACCGACAGGGAUAACAUACCUCUACCAUGGGCCGACAAUUUAGGUUGGGGUGACCUCGGAGAAUAAAACAACCUCCGAGUGAUUUAAAUCUAGACUAACUAGUCGAAAGUACUACAUCACUUAUUGAUCCAAAAACUUGACCAACGGAACAAGUUACCCUAGGGAUAACAGCGCAAUCCUAUUCUAGAGUCCAUAUCAACAAUAGGGUUUACGACCUCGAUGUUGGA
This 372-nucleotide ribosomal RNA is filed under the name Panthera onca (jaguar). RNAcentral describes it as "partial large subunit ribosomal RNA". It matches the Rfam family "Bacterial large subunit ribosomal RNA", at positions 1990 to 2536 of the family's 2925-position model. The record is from RNAcentral. Lineage: Eukaryota; Metazoa; Chordata; Mammalia; Carnivora; Felidae.